Molecule: ribosomal RNA, 674 nt
Filed under: uncultured Candidatus Poseidoniales archaeon
Lineage: Archaea; Methanobacteriati; Thermoplasmatota; Candidatus Poseidoniia; Candidatus Poseidoniales
Description: bacterial SSU rRNA
Rfam family: Archaeal small subunit ribosomal RNA
Source: RNAcentral
UUCCGGUUGAUCCUGCCAGAGGCGACCGCUAUUGGAGUUCGAUUAAGCCAUGCGAGUCGAGAGUCUUAGGGACUCGGCAUACUGCUCAGUAACACGUGGAUAACCUGCCCUGUGCUGGAGGAUAACCUCGGGAAACUGAGAAUAAUACUCCAUAGACCACUAUGCCUGGAAUGGUUUGUGGUUCAAAGCUCCGGCGGCACAGGAUGGGUCUGCGGCGUAUCAGGUUGUAGGGGGUGUAAAGGACCCUCUAGCCAUUGACGCGUACGGGUUGUGGGAGCAAUCGCCCGGAGAUGGAUUCUGAGACACGAAUCCAGACCCUACGGGGUGCAGCAGGCGCGGAAACUUCACACUGCGGGAAACCGUGAUGAGGGAACUCCAAGUGUUUGCACUAUGUGCAAUCUUUUCUUGACUUUUAAUAGGUCUUGGUAAUAAGGGGUGGGAAAGACCGGUGCCAGCCGCCGCGGUAAUACCGGCACCCCAAGUGGUCGUCGCUUUUAUUGGGCCUAAAACGCCCGUAGCCUGUUUGGUAAACCCGUGGGUAAAUCAACAUGCUCAACAUGUUGACUUCUGCGGAGACUGCCAGACUAGGGACCGGGAGAGGUGUGGGGUACUCAUGGGGUAGGGGUAAAAUCCUGUCAUCCCAUGAGGACCACCUGUUGCGAAGGCGCCACACU